This 813-nucleotide long non-coding RNA is filed under the name Homo sapiens (human). RNAcentral's name for it is "non-protein coding LEF1-AS1:20". Lineage: Eukaryota; Metazoa; Chordata; Mammalia; Primates; Hominidae. The record is from RNAcentral.
AACACUUCCUUCUACAUCGGGCGCCGUCGCCUCAACUGCGCGUGGGGGGCGAGGCGCCCACCCCGCACAAGAACAGAGGAGCGGGGGAGAAGAGACGGCCUCGCUGCUCACUGGGCCCCUUUGUGUGACUAAAUUUGGCAAGAAUAUGGAUCUGAGCCAGUCUUUCCACGUGUGCUCCCAGCUCCCAGCUGAGAAGGCCAAGGGUUCUCUUCCGGGAAAACCAGUUUGGCUAUUAAGGGAACCUGUCGACACAGAGCAGAGCAAGAUAAGGCCAGGUUUCAGAAAGAAUAGCUGUUUACCAUCAAAGCAACUGGGUUCCACACAGACAUGGUAUAUUAUACACAAAGACGAAGGAUAUGGGUCCACUCUCCGUCAAGGAAUGUUAUAAAUCCACGUGGUGUCCCUGGGUGUCAGGCUUGGCCAGAACAUCUGUGGCUGGAGAAGCCAAUGUGGCUCAGGAGCUCCCUGCUGGCUGCACAUCUGAACGGCUUCAGGAGUACAAGUUUCCCCAUCAAAGGUUUGGAAUAAAUUACACUAAAAAAUUGGCUCCAGAACGAGUUAUUUUGGACAGGACAAGGUGAAGCUCUCAUGAGGUGUGUUAAAUGCAUCCCUCUGUGCAGUGGGCAACUGCGGGAGAGCUGGAGGGGGUGGUCAAAGGCUGUGGGGAAAGUGGAGAAACUCUAACCCUGCACACACUUGGACAGAAAUGCCAAAUCUACUGACUGGACAAGAUUUGGGAAAUUCAUUUUUUAAACAAAUGGUUUUACAAAGCUUUAUAACUUAAUUUGAAUAUAUAUCUUAUAAAUAGUCAUC